Molecule: long non-coding RNA, 5005 nt
Organism: Oncorhynchus tshawytscha (Chinook salmon)
Lineage: Eukaryota; Metazoa; Chordata; Actinopteri; Salmoniformes; Salmonidae
Source: Ensembl
GUUGUUGCUCGUGAUGACUCCCGGAGGUGCAGUUGGCUUUAGGUCAUCCUUUCACCCAUGGUGGUAUUGUUGUUGCUCGUGAUGACUCCCGGAGGUGCAGUUGGCUUUAGGUCAUCCUUGGAUCAGAAGAAAGAUUGACCUGAGCUUGUCUUUUUUUUUUUUUUUACAAAUACUAUUUGAACCCAGGUCUGCUUGGUUUAUCCAGACAGUACCAAAGCCUGGACCUAAUCCCUCACAGAGAAGAACCAUAUUACAAUCUAAUCUAUCUAUGAUACUGUUUAUUCAUAGUGGGAGUUUUUCCCUGUCAGAAUCUGUAAUGCCACUUCGGGAAUAGGAGUACAGUAUUACACUCAGUAUUACACUCAGCAGUACACUCAGUAGUAGUACACUCAGCAGUACACUCAGUAGUAGUACACUCAGCAGUACACUCAGUAGUAGAACACUCAGCAGUACACUCAGUAGUAGUACACUCAGUAGUAGUACACUCAGUAGUAGUUCACUCAGCAGUACACUCAGUAGUAGUUCACUCAGCAGUACACUCAGUAGUAGAACACUCAGCAGUAGUACACUCAGUAGUAGUACACUCAGUAGUAGUACACUCAGUAGUAGUACACUCAGUAGUAGUACACUCAGUAGCAGUACACUCAGUAGUAGUACACUCAGUAGUAGUACACUCAGUAGUAGUACACUCAGUAGUAGUACACUCAGUAGUAGUACACUCAGUAGUAGUUCACUCAGCAGUACACUCAGUAGUAGUUCACUCAGCAGUACACUCAGUAGUAGUACACUCAGUAGUACACUCAGCAGUACACUCAGUAGUAGUACACUCAGUAGUACACUCAGCAGUACACUCAGUAGUAGUUCACUCAGCAGUACACUCAGUAGUAGUACACUCAGUAGUACACUCAGCAGUACACUCAGUAGUAGUACACUCAGCAGUACACUCAGUAGUAGUACACUCAGUAGUAGUACACUCAGUAGUACACUCAGCAUACACUCAGUAGUAGUUCACUCAGCAGUACACUCAGUAGUAGUUCACUCAGCAGUACACUCAGUAGUAGUACACUCAGCAGUACACUCAGUAGUACACUCAGUAGUAGUACACUCAGCAGUACACUCAGUAGUAGUACACUCAGCAGUACACUCAGUAGUAGUACACUCAGUAGUACACUCAGCAGUACACUCAGUAGUAGUUCACUCAGCAGUACACUCAGUAGUAGUACACUCAGCAGUACACUCAGCAGUAGUUCACUCAGCAGUACACUCAGUAGUAGUUCACUCAGCAGUACACUCAGUAGUAGUUCACUCAGCAGUACACUCAGUAGUAGUACACUCAGUAGUACACUCAGCAGUACACUCAGUAGUAGUACACUCAGUAGUAGUACACUCAGCAGUACACUCAGUAGUAGUACACUCAGUAGUACACUCAGCAGUACACUCAGUAGUAGUACACUCAGUAGUACACUCAGUAGUAGUACACUCAGCAGUACACUCAGUAGUAGUACACUCAGCAGUACACUCAGUAGUAGUAGUACACUCAGCAGUACACUCAGUAGUAGUUCACUCAGCAGUACACUCAGUAGUAGUACACUCAGCAGUACACUCAGUAGUAGUACACUCAGUAGUAGUACACUCAGCAGUACACUCAGUAGUAGUACACUCAGCAGUACACUCAGUAGUAGUACACUCAGCAGUACACUCAGUAGUACACUCAGCAGUACACUCAGUAGUAGUACACUCAGUAGUACACUCAGUAGUACACUCAGUAGUAGUAGUACACUCAGUAGUACACUCAGUAGUACACUCAGUAGUAGUAGUACACUCAGUAGUAGUAGUACACUCAGUAGUACACUCAGUAGUAGUACACUCAGUAGUACACUCAGUAGUAGUACACUCAGCAGUACACUCAGUAGUAGUACACUCAGCAGUACACAGCAGUAGUAGUACACUCAGUAGUAGUAGUACACUCAGCAGUACACUCAGUAGUAGUACACUCAGCAGUACACUCAGUAGUAGUACACUCAGUAGUAGUAGUACACUCAGUAGUAGUACACUCAGUAGUAGUAGUACACUCAGUAGUAGUAGUACACUCAGUAGUAGUACACUCAGCAGUACACUCAGUAGUAGUACACUCAGUAGUAGUAGUACACUCAGUAGUACACUCAGUAGUACACUCAGUAGUAGUACACUCAGUAGUAGUACACUCAGUGAUCCAUCCGUGCUAUCUUUUCCUUUUUAUUUGCAUGGAAGGGUUCAGUCUCCCAUUUCCACCCCAUAGUGGUUGUUUUAUUUGCAUGGAAAGGUUCAGUCUCCCAUUUCCACCCCAUAGUGGUUGUUUUAUUUGCAUGGAAAGGUUCAGUCUCCCAUUUCCACCCCAUAGUGGUUGUUUUAUUUGCAUGGAAAGGUUCAGUCUCCCAUUUCCACCCCAUAGUGGUUGUUUUAUUUGCAUGGAAAGGUUCAGUCUCCCAUUUCCACCCCAUAGUGGUUGUUUUAUUUGCAUGGAAAGGUUCAGUCUCCCAUUUCCACCCCAUAGUGGUUGUUUAUCGUUGUUGAUGACGAUGAUGAGUGUGUAGAGACCAUUGUGUGUGUUACACCAUCACCUCGUCAACCUACCCAAUACCUAACCUAACCUAUACCUUAACCCUUCAUAACUAGUUUCCUAUCGAUGGAUUGAUCUAUUAUUGACCCCUACCCUUCAUAACUAGUCUCCUAUCGAUAGAUUGAUCUAUUAUUGACCCCUACCCUUCAUAACUAGUCUCCUAUCGAUGGAUUGAUCUAUCAGACCCCUAUCUGUCUGGUAGACCCAGGGCCGGCUCCAGGCAUAAGUGACAUAAGUUCAGACGGGGUCUCAACUCACGGAGAGUAAGAAUAGUAACACCAGGUGCAAGUUGGACAUGUGGUUGUGCAUCAGCAGUUUUUCUCUUAUGUCAGUCACUGACAGUCACUCAAUUAGCCUUGUCUGCUAACAACUGUUAGAUUGGUAAGUUAGUCUAGCCAGCUUGUAGUAAUCAUGGUCAAAUAUCGACCAGGCACGCAGGGCACGUGUCCAGAGGCCCUGACUUCCAGGGCCCCCUCCUCAUUGAUUUUGUUAGUCACUCUCACUCAGAUAUCAUUAACAUGGCAUACACUACCGGUCAAAAGUUUUAGAACACCUUCUCAUUCAAGAGUUUGUCUUUAUUUGUACUAUUUUCAACAUUGUAGAAUAAUAGUGAAGACAUCAAAACUGUGAAAUAACACAUAUGGAAUCAUGUAGUAACCAAAAAAGUAUUAAACAAAUCAAAAUAUUUUAUAUAUUUGAGAUUCUUCAAAUAUCCACCCUUUGCCUUGAUGACAGCUUUGCACACUCUUGGCAUUCUCACAACCAGCUUCACUUGGAAUGCUUUUCCAACCGUCUUGAAGGAGUUCCCACAUAUGUUGAGCACUUGUUGGCUGCUUUUCCUUCACUCUGCAGUCAGACUCAUCCCAAACCAUCUCAAUUUGGUUGAGGUCGUGGGAUUGUGGAGGUCAGGUCAUCUGAUGCAGCACUUGAUCACGCUCCUUGGUCAAAUAGCUAUUACACAGCCUGGAGGUGUGUUGGGUCAUUGUCCUGUUGAAAAACAAAUGAUAGUCCCACUAAGCCCAAACCAGGUAGGAUGGCGUAUCCCUGCAUAAUGCUGUGGUAACCAUGCUGGUUAUGUGCCUUGAAUUCUAAAUAAAUCACUGACAGUGUCACCAGCAAAGCACCCCCACACCAUCACACCACCUCCUCCAUGCUUUACGGUGGGAAAUACACAUGCGGAGAUCAUCCGUUCAGCCACACCUCGUCUCACAAAGACACGGCGGUUGGAACCAAAAAUCUCAAAUUUGGACUCCAGACCAUAGGACAAAUGUUGAUCCGUCUAAAGUUCAUUGCUCAUGUUUCUUAGCCCAAGCAAGUCUCUUCUUAUUAUUGGUGUCCUUUAGUAGUGGUUUGAUCAUGAAGGCCUGAUUCACACAGUUUCUGAGGCUGGUAGCUCUAAUGAACUUAUCCUCUGCAGCAGAGGUAACUAUGAGUCUUCCUUUCCUGUGGCGGUCCUCAUGAGCGCCAAUGUAAUCAUUGCGCUUGAUGGUUUUUGCGACUGCACUUGAAGAAACUUUCAAAGUUCUUGAAAUGUUCUGUAUCGACUGACCUUCAUGUCUUAAAGUAAUGAUGGACUGUAGUUUCUCUUUGCUUAUUUGAGCUGUUCUUGCCAUAAUAUGGACUUGGUCUAUUACCAAAUAGGGUUAUGUUCUGUAUACUCCCCUACCUUGUCACAACACACUGAUUGGCUCAAAUGCAUUAAGAAGGAAACAAAUUCCACAAAUUAUCCUGUCAAUUGAAAUACAUUCCAGGUGACUACCUCGUGGAGCUGGUUGAGAGAAUGCCAAGCAUGUGGAAAGCUGUCAUGAAGGCAAAGGGUGACUAUUUGAUUUGUCUGACACUUUUUUGGUUACUAAUGAUUCCAAAUGUGUUAUUUCAUGGUUUUGAUGUUUUCAUUAUUAUUCUACAAUGUAGAAAAUAGUAAAAAUAAAGAAAAAACCUUGAAAUAACUGGAAGUGUAAGUCAUGGCAAAAUGUGUAGAAUUGAAGAAAAUUCUACACACAAAAUUCUCUCCGCCGUCGGGAGCGGAGGAGGGGGGAGGAACCAAAAUGUUUCGCCUGCAACCAAAUCUCGUUUAGGGUCUUCAAACUGCUAGAGCCAUCCCUGGGUAGACCCUUACCAGAACAUCCACCCUCAUAACCUCCACCACAGUGUUAGAGUUACCAAUAGUUACCAUUAUUUACCAAUUGUUUUAUAUAAUGCCAACCAUGCAUUUUAGGAAUCUUUGUUGUAGCUUGUUCGAUGGGACAGUCACAAAAAUGUAAAAUGAAACGAUAUACAAAGAAUGUGUGUCAUGAAGUGGGAACAAAAUGUGGCAUUCCUCCUGACAUCUUGUUCACCGCCUGUUAUUAUUCAAUGUAAAUAUCAAUACUGUAUGUUACAAUAAAAUAAUACCCCCCCAACUAA